This 511-nucleotide ribosomal RNA is filed under the name uncultured Nitrososphaerota archaeon. RNAcentral's name for it is "bacterial SSU rRNA". It matches the Rfam family "Archaeal small subunit ribosomal RNA", at positions 346 to 859 of the family's 1478-position model. Lineage: Archaea; Thermoproteati; Nitrososphaerota. The record is from RNAcentral.
ACCUUCGCAAUGCGCGAAAGCGUGACGAGGUUAAUCCGAGUGACUUCCGCUGAGGAGGUCUUUUGUCAGCUGUAAAUAGGCAGGCGAAUAAGGGGAGGGCAAGCCUGGUGUCAGCCGCCGCGGUAAUACCAGCUCCUCGAGUGGUCGGGGCGAUUAUUGGGCCUAAAGCAUCCGUAGCCGGUUCCGUAGGUCCUCUGUUAAAUCCAACCGCUUAACGGUUGACCUGCAGAGGAUACCGCGGGACUAGGAGGCGGGAGAGGCGGACGGUACUCCGCGUGUAGGGGUAAAAUCCUUUGAUCCGCGGAAGACCACCAGUGGCGAAGGCGGUCCGCCAGAACGCGCUCGACGGUGAGGGAUGAAAGCUGGGGGAGCGAACCGGAUUAGAUACCCGGGUAGUCCCAGCCGUAAACGAUGCUAGCUAGAUGAUUCAUUCGCAAGUCGCGAAUGAAGUGUCGCAGGGAAGCCGUUAAGCUAGCCGCCUGGGGAGUACGGUCGCAAGACUGAAACUUAA